UGGGGAAUAUUGCACAAUGGGGGAAACCCUGAUGCAGCGACGCCGCGUGAACGAAGAAGGUAUUCGUAUCGUAAAGUUCUGUCCUAUGGGAAGAUAAUGACAGUACCAUAGAAGAAAGCUCCGGCUAAAUACGUGCCAGCAGCCGCGGUAAUACGUAUGGAGCGAGCGUUGUCCGGAAUUAUUGGGCGUAAAGGGUACGCAGGCGGUUUAAUAAGUCGAAUGUUAAAGAUCGGGGCUCAACCCCGCAAAGCAUUGGAAACUGAUAAACUUGAGUAGUGGAGAGGAAAGUGGAAUUCCUAGUGUAGUGGUGAAAUACGUAGAUAUUAGGAGGAAUACCAGUAGCGAACGCGACUUUCUGGACACAAACUGACGCUGAGGUACGAAAGCGUGGGGAGCAAACAGG
RNAcentral lists this ribosomal RNA (403 nucleotides) under bacterium. Its description in RNAcentral is "partial 16S ribosomal RNA". It matches the Rfam family "Bacterial small subunit ribosomal RNA", at positions 355 to 776 of the family's 1533-position model. The record is from RNAcentral.